UUUUAGAUUUUUAGAUAUGAUGUUUUAGAUUUUUGGUUUUCUAACAACUUGAAUCUUGACUGUAUGACUGUUUAUGUUUGAUUUUUAAUGAAAAUUUUUGAAUCUUGAUUGUGCUUUAAGAAUGUUUUUGCAGGAACUUUCAAGACUUCAAGACUCCAUGUCUAAGUCAUAGAGUUUGUAUUAGGAUUAUACAGGAGAUUGUCGUUUGGUGAUUGCGAUAAUCUUCUUUCUUUUUCCUGUUUCUGAGGUUGUAUGAGCAUUGUAAUAUGUUUUGUCACGAAAUCGCCAAAGGGGGAGAUUAUUAAGGAUUUUUUAAGUUGGCGAAUUUCGUAAAGUCGAAUGGAGUCUUGAAGAGUUAAAAGCGAAGUUUUUAGAAAGAAAAUUCAAUUUGAAAAU
This 396-nucleotide long non-coding RNA is filed under the name Ananas comosus (pineapple). RNAcentral's name for it is "long non-coding RNA (ACOM_LNC036602)". Lineage: Eukaryota; Viridiplantae; Streptophyta; Magnoliopsida; Poales; Bromeliaceae. The record is from RNAcentral.